UACGAAGGGUGCAAACGUUGCUCGGAAUUAUUGGGCGUAAAGCGCACGUAGGCGGCUUGGCAAGUCGGAUGUGAAAGCCCUCGGCUCAACCAAGGAAGUGCAUCCGAAACUGCUGAGCUUGAGUACUUAAGAGGAUCGCGGAAUUCCCGGUGUAGAGGUGAAAUUCGUAGAUAUCCGGAGGAACACCAGAGGCGAAGGCGGCCUACUGGGUCAGUACUGACGCUGAGCCGCGAAAGCCAGGGGAGCGAACGGG
Molecule: ribosomal RNA, 253 nt
Filed under: uncultured bacterium
Lineage: Bacteria
Description: partial 16S ribosomal RNA
Rfam family: Bacterial small subunit ribosomal RNA
Source: RNAcentral